Molecule: ribosomal RNA, 564 nt
Filed under: Citricoccus sp. J122
Lineage: Bacteria; Bacillati; Actinomycetota; Actinomycetes; Micrococcales; Micrococcaceae
Description: bacterial SSU rRNA
Rfam family: Bacterial small subunit ribosomal RNA
Source: RNAcentral
CGGGCUNGAGAGGGUGACCGGCCACACUGGGACUGAGACACGGCCCAGACUCUACGGGAGGCAGCAGUGGGGAAUAUUGCACAAUGGGCGCAAGCCUGAUGCAGCGACGCCGCGUGAGGGAUGACGGCUUCGGGUUGUAAACCUCUUUCAGUAGGGAAGAAGCGAGAGUGACGGUACCUGCAGAAGAAGCGCCGGCUAAUACGUGCCAGCAGCCGCGGUAAUACGUAGGGCGCGAGCGUUAUCCGGAAUUAUUGGGCGUAAAGAGCUCGUAGGCGGUUUGUCGCGUCUGCCGUGAAAGUCCGGGGCUUAACUCCGGAUCUGCGGUGGGUACGGGCAGACUAGAGUGCAGUAGGGGAGACUGGAAUUCCUGGUGUAGCGGUGAAAUGCGCAGAUAUCAGGAGGAACACCGAUGGCGAAGGCAGGUCUCUGGGCUGUAACUGACGCUGAGGAGCGAAAGCAUGGGGAGCGAACAGGAUUAGAUACCCUGGUAGUCCAUGCCGUAAACGUUGGGCACUAGGUGUGGGGGACAUUCCACGUUUUCCGCGCCGUAUGAACGAUUAAGUG